RNAcentral lists this ribosomal RNA (512 nucleotides) under uncultured bacterium. Its description in RNAcentral is "partial 16S ribosomal RNA". It matches the Rfam family "Bacterial small subunit ribosomal RNA", at positions 28 to 507 of the family's 1533-position model. The record is from RNAcentral.
GAUGAACGCUGGCGGCGUGCCUAAUACAUGCAAGUCGAACGAAACUUCUUUAUCAACGAGUGCUUGCACUCACCGAUAAAGAGUUGAGUGGCGAACGGUUGAGUAAACCGUGGGCAACCUGCCCAAAAGAGGGGGAUAACACUUGGAAACAAGUGCUAAUACCACAUAACCAUAGUUACCGCAUGGUAACUAUGUGAAAGGUGGCUAUCCUACCGCCUGUGGAUGGGCCCGCGGCGCAUGAGCUAGUUGGUAGGGUAAAGGCUUACGAAGGCAAUGAGGCGUAGCCGAAUUGAGAGGUUGAUCGGCCACAUUGUGACUGAGACACGUCCCAAACUCCUACGGGGGGCAGCAGUAGGGAAUCUUACACAAUGGACGAGAGCCUGAUGGAGCAACGCCGCGUGGGUGAAGAAGGUCUUCGGAUCGUAAAACCCUGUUGUUAGAGAAGAAAGUGCGUGAGAGUAACUGUUCACGUUUUGACGGUAUCUAAACGGAAAGCCACGGCUAACUACGUG